UACGUAGGGCGCAAGCGUUGUCCGGAAUCAUUGGGCGUAAAGCGCGCGUAGGCGGCCCGGUAAGUCCGUUGUGAAAGUCAAAGGCUCAACCUUUGAACGCCGAUGGAUACUGCCGGGCUAGAGUCCGGAAGAGGCGAGUGGAAUUCCUGGUGUAGCGGUGGAAUGCGCAGAUAUCAGGAGGAACACCAAUAGCGAAGGCAGCUCGCUGGGACGGUACUGACGCUGAGGCGCGAAAGCGUGGGGAGCGAACAGG
RNAcentral lists this ribosomal RNA (253 nucleotides) under uncultured bacterium. RNAcentral's name for it is "partial 16S ribosomal RNA". It matches the Rfam family "Bacterial small subunit ribosomal RNA", at positions 524 to 776 of the family's 1533-position model. The record is from RNAcentral.